This 1332-nucleotide long non-coding RNA is filed under the name Homo sapiens (human). RNAcentral describes it as "HSALNT0201469". Lineage: Eukaryota; Metazoa; Chordata; Mammalia; Primates; Hominidae. The record is from RNAcentral.
CCAUGUCCACAGUGCAUAAUGGACCAGGUGCUUUAUCUCCUGAUCUUCACUCCAGUCUGGAAGGUCAUCAGCUUCAUUUCCACAAAGAUGUGGAAGCUGAGGAUGAUAGAGGCUAAGGAUCUGCCCAAGGUUGGACAGCUUGAAUGUCACAGAGUUUGUGUUCAAACUGAGGGCUUACCCCAAACUCAGAGUUCUGCCUGCUGCUGCUGUUGCUGCUGAAUAAGCACCAGGUUGUGAAUUAUUCCAAAUUUUCAAGUCACCUGUAGAGGAAAGGGGAACUAAAAGAAAAAGUGAUUUAGUCAAACAAAAAACUUCCCAAUGUAGCAUACCUUUAUGUCUUUUUGCCUUAAUUUGUGUUUCUUUUCCUAGAAUUCCGUCUGUUUAUAUCUAUUGAACACCUACUAUGUGCCAGGAACACAUAGUAAUACAAAAGACAUGAAGGCUAUGAUCUAGUAAGAGUGUAAUUGGUACAACCUCUGAAGACGGACCUUUCAUCUAGGGAGGAGCUGAAAGCCCUUUGAAGAUGUUAAUAAGAAAGAGACCUGCUAAUUAAGAUUGCUUAAAAAUAAAAACUCAUCUUCCAGUAUGUUUACAUGAUUGCUGGGAAGGUUCUGACUCAAAGAGAUUUGCUAUCACAGGUGAGUUGUUUCAUAUGUUUUCUUUCAAAAUCAUACUGUUAGAUUCCAUGUACUGAUAAAAUGGCUUUCUCUAGACAGUCACACCAGAUAUAACAAUACUAAUUCAACAAUUUAUGGCAUACUUGAUUUGGAGAUCAGACAUUUACCCAGAACAUUUUGGGACAGAGCAAGGAGCGGUGCCAUGUUGAAUAUUUGUAAUGAGUUUUAAGAUUAUCAGACAAAGCUGUAGACUAAACUCAGUGAAACAAGUUUAGAAGAAGACAAAGCAAGAGCCGAGCACAGUGGCAUGUGCCUGUCAUCUCACAGGAGGCUGAGGCAGGGAUCGCUUGAGCCCAGGAGUUUGAGACUAGCCUGGGCAACAUAGUGAGACCUCCAUCUCAAAAAAAAGAAAAAAGAAGGACAAAUCAUUCCCAGAUCUUUAUGAAAUUAUUUUUAGAGGAAAUUCAAAUAGCAAAAACUGUAGAGCUCCUUGCCUCAGUGCAUGGUGAACAGGAUGACUUUGUUAAGAGUACAAGCUUCCACCUCAACUGCCCCACAUCAAACAGACUAAAGCAAAUCCCUACAGAGAUGAAGUCAAUUCAGUGAAAUCUUCCCUAAUUCCAACUGUCAGAAUUGGUAGCACCUAACUUUCUACUCCCUGGGCAGAUAUGUUAUAAUUAAUCCAACUAUUUAGUAUGUAAAUCAUUUUUCUUAC